CCUAAGUGGGAGAUUAACAGCGGUGCUGAAUAAAUAGGGCACAGGUUUCACGAGAGGCACUCGCCUAUCUUGCUGGGACCACUCGUGGGGAUUUCUUGUCUCUUGUCCCUCCUGCACCGUGUUGCAGAACGUUACAGCCACGGUGGCGUACUGCUCUUCCGGGAUUGUAACACAGCCGUGUAGUUGUUGGCUCCUCAACAUUGUGAGCGUGUACUUGUUGACCUCGCAUUCAGGGUCUGUGGCGUUUCGUGGGGUUGCUGUUCGGUUCCCCUUGCCUGUGCGGCCCAAUAUCCCAGCUGUCGUGAGCUUCUCUCCUCGUCUUCCUGGCCUGCUCGUCCAAUCUCUGCUAGCUGUCAAGUUGGACUACUUGCUCGAGGCUUCUGCUCGGGGUGCCUGCGUGUGUAUUUGAAUGCUAGUGCAUGUCGUGGUGUUUGGGUGCUUCUCGUUGUUUUGUCGUUUUGUUUGUAUGUUUGUAUGCUAGAAUAAGCGUUGGUGGCUCUGUCGCUUGCUGGCUUCCUCCCCUGCUUGUGGCUAAAUGUAUCCCGCUCUAGUUGUGUAAUUCCCUUUUUUUUUUUAAUGCGUGUGCAGUGUUAUUUUCAUAGUUUGGUUAAGUUUAUAUCUUGUGAUUUGCAGUGAAAAAAGCAUGUUUUGUUUUUGUACAGGGAUUUUUCACCAAGGAAGUAGGGCAUUCGUCGGGGUAAGCAAGGUAGCUUGAAUAGGAAGUCACCUUGCAUACUUGUGGAUCCAUGAAUUGCUAUACUCUGUGUAUUUGAAGGUAGACAAAUAAAUUAUCUUUUGUAUCAGAU
This is a long non-coding RNA of Gadus morhua (Atlantic cod), 806 nucleotides long. Ensembl lists it as uncharacterized. The record is from Ensembl. NCBI's taxonomy places the organism in Eukaryota, Metazoa, Chordata, Actinopteri, Gadiformes, Gadidae.